Molecule: ribosomal RNA, 460 nt
Filed under: uncultured delta proteobacterium
Lineage: Bacteria; Deltaproteobacteria
Description: bacterial SSU rRNA
Rfam family: Bacterial small subunit ribosomal RNA
Source: RNAcentral
GUCGUAAAGCACUUUUAUGGGGGAAGAUGAUGACGGUACCCCAUGAAUAAGCACCGGCUAACUACGUGCCAGCAGCCGCGGUAAUACGUAGGGUGCGAGCGUUGUUCGGAAUUACUGGGCGUAAAGGGCGUGCAGGCGGAUUGGCAAGCCGGAGGUGAAAGCCCGGGGCUCAACCCCGGAGGGUCUUUCGGAACUGCCAGUCUUGAGAGGGUCAGGGGCCAGCGGAAUUCCUGGUGUAGAGGUGAAAUUCGUAGAGAUCAGGAGGAACACCGGCGGCGAAAGCGGCUGGCUGGGGCCACUCUGACGCUGAGGCGCGAAAGCGUGGGGAGCAAACAGGAUUAGAUACCCUGGUAGUCCACGCCGUAAACGAUGGGCACUAAGCGUCCGACGGGUUCGACCCUGUUGGGUGCUGCAGUUAACGCGUUAAGUGCCCCGCCUGGGGAGUACGGUCGCAAGACUA